AGGACGAACGCUGGCGGCUUGCUUAACACAUGCAAGUCGAGCGGAAAGGCCCUUCGGGGUACUCGAGCGGCGAACGGGUGAGUAACACGUGAGUAAUCUGCCCCUAGCUCUGGGAUAGCUCCGGGAAACCGGGAUUAAUACUGGAUACGACCACCUUAGACAUCUUUUGUGGUGGAAAGAAUUUCGGCUAGGGAUGAGCUCGCGGCCUAUCAGCUUGUUGGUGGGGUAACGGCCUACCAAGGCGACGACGGGUA
Molecule: ribosomal RNA, 254 nt
Filed under: uncultured bacterium
Lineage: Bacteria
Description: partial small subunit ribosomal RNA
Rfam family: Bacterial small subunit ribosomal RNA
Source: RNAcentral